UACGUAGGGGGCUAGCGUUGUCCGGAUUUAUUGGGCGUAAAGAGCGUGUAGGCGGCCAGGUAGGUCUGGUGUGAAAACUCGAGGCUCAACCUCGAGAGGUCAUCGGAAACCAUUUGGCUAGAGUCCGGAAGAGGAGAGUGGAAUUCCCGGUGUAGCGGUGAAAUGCGCAGAUAUCGGGAAGAACACCUAUGGCGAAGGCAGCUCUCUGGGACGGUACUGACGCUGAGACGCGAAAGCGUGGGGAGCGAACAGG
This 253-nucleotide ribosomal RNA is filed under the name uncultured bacterium. RNAcentral's name for it is "partial 16S ribosomal RNA". It matches the Rfam family "Bacterial small subunit ribosomal RNA", at positions 524 to 776 of the family's 1533-position model. The record is from RNAcentral.